UCCUACGGGGCGCAGCAGUGGGGGAUAUUGCACAAUGGGGGGAACCCUGAUGCAGCGACGCCGCGUGGGUGAAGAAGCGCCUCGGCGCGAAAAGCCCUGUCAGCAGGGAAGAAAAUGACGGUACCUGAAGAAGAAGCCCCGGCUAACUACGUGCCAGCAGCCGCGGUAAUACGUAGGGGGCAAGCGUUAUCCGGAUUUACUGGGUGUAAAGGGGGCGCAGACGGCGAUGCAAGCCAGGAGUGAAAGCCCGGGGCCCAACCCCGGGACUGCUCUUGGAACUGCGUGGCUGGAGUGCAGGCGGGGCA
RNAcentral lists this ribosomal RNA (305 nucleotides) under uncultured bacterium. RNAcentral describes it as "bacterial SSU rRNA". It matches the Rfam family "Bacterial small subunit ribosomal RNA", at positions 337 to 659 of the family's 1533-position model. The record is from RNAcentral.